Molecule: ribosomal RNA, 495 nt
Filed under: uncultured bacterium
Lineage: Bacteria
Description: bacterial SSU rRNA
Rfam family: Bacterial small subunit ribosomal RNA
Source: RNAcentral
AUGAACGCUAGCUACAGGCUUAACACAUGCAAGCGAGGGGCAGCACAAGGAGCAAUCUGAGGUGGCGACCGGCGCACGGGUGAGUAACACGUAUGCAACCUGCCUGUAAGCGGGGUAUAACCCGUUGAAAGACGGACUAAUACCGCAUAAUACUAAAUUACUGCAUGGUAAUUUAUUUAAACAUUUAUGGCUUACAGAUGGGCAUGCGCAUGAUUAGCUAGUUGGAGAGGUAACGGCUCCCCAAGGCAACGAUCAUUAGGGGUUCUGAGAGGAAGGUCCCCCACACUGGUACUGAGACACGGACCAGACUCCUACGGGAGGCAGCAGUGAGGAAUAUUGGUCAAUGGACGAGAGUCUGAACCAGCCAAGUCGCGUGCAGGAAGAAUGUCCUUAAUGGAUUGUAAACUGCUUUUGCAGGGGAAUAAAGUGCAUCACGUGUGAUGUUUUGUAUGUACUCUGCGAAUAAGGAUCGGCUAACUCCGUGCCAGCAGCGGC